Molecule: ribosomal RNA, 465 nt
Filed under: uncultured bacterium
Lineage: Bacteria
Description: partial 16S ribosomal RNA
Rfam family: Bacterial small subunit ribosomal RNA
Source: RNAcentral
GACGAACGCUGGCGGCGUGCUUAACACAUGCAAGUCGAACGGAAAGGCCCCCUUGUGGGGUACUCGAGUGGCGACCGGGUGAGUAACACGUGAGUAACCUACCCUUGACUUUGGGAUAACUUCAGGAAACUGGGGCUAAUACCGGCUAGGAGCUCCUGCUGCAUGGUGGGGGUUGGAAAGUUUCGGCGGUUGGGGAUGGACUCGCGGCUUAUCAGCUUGUUGGUGGGGUAGUGGCUCACCAAGGCUUUGACGGGUAGCCGGCCUGAGAGGGUGACCGGCCACAUUGGGACUGAGAUACGGCCCAGACUCCUACGGGAGGCAGCAGUGGGGAAUAUUGCACAAUGGGCGGAAGCCUGAUGCAGCAACGCCGCGUGCGGGAUGACGGCCUUCGGGUUGUAAACCGCUUUCGCCUGUGACGAAGCGUGAGUGACGGUAAUGGGUAAAGAAGCACCGGCUAACUACGUG